Molecule: ribosomal RNA, 1342 nt
Filed under: uncultured euryarchaeote
Lineage: Archaea; Methanobacteriati; Methanobacteriota
Description: bacterial SSU rRNA
Rfam family: Archaeal small subunit ribosomal RNA
Source: RNAcentral
UUCCGGUUGAUCCUGCCGGAGGUCACUGCUAUCGGGAUCUGGUUAAGCCAUGCAAGUCUAUUGGCGCAAGCCAAGGCGAAAUGCUCAGUAACACGUGGAUAACCUGCCCUCAGGUGAGGGGUAACCUCAGGAAACCGAGGAUAAUACCUCAUAGGUUUAGAGUACUGGAAUGUCUCUAAACUCAAAGCUCAGGCGCCCGAGGAUGGAUCUGCGGCCUAUCAGGUAGUAGUCAGGGUAAUUACCUGACUAGCCGAUGACGGGUAUGGGCUGUGGGAGCAGAAGCCCAGAGAUGGAUUCUGAGACAAGAAUCCAGGCCCUAUGGGGCGCAGCAGGCGCGAAAACUCCGCAAUGUGCGCAAGCAUGACGGGGAGAUCCCGAGUCCCCAUACAUCGUAUGGGGUGUCCUCCUGUCUAAAUAGCAGGAGAAGAAAGGGCUGGGCAAGACAGGUGCCAGCCGCCGCGGUAACACCUGCAGCCCGAGUGGUGGCCACUAUUAUUGGGUCUAAAGCAUCCGUAGCCGGCUUAGUAAAUGCCUGGGGAAAUCGUAUCGCUUAACGAUGCGGAGGCCAAGCAGACUGCUAAGCUUGAGACCGGGAGGAGCUAGGGGUACUCUUGGGGUAGCGGUAAAAUGCUGUAAUCCUAAGAGGACCACCAGUGGCGAAGGCGCCUAGCUAGAACGGAUCUGACGGUGAGGGAUGAAACCCUGGGGCGCAAACCGGAUUAGACACCCGGGUAGUCCAGGGCGUAAACGCUGCCCGCUUGAUGUUAGGAAACCUACAGGAUUUCCUAGUGUCGGAGAGAAGUCGUUAAGCGGGCCACCUGGGAAGUACGGUCGCAAGGCUGAAACUUAAAGGAAUUGGCGGGGGAGCACCGCAACGGGUGGAGCGUGCGGUUCAAUUGGAUCCAACGCCGGAAAGCUUACCGAGGGCGACGGAUAAAUGAAGGCCAGGCUGAUGACCUUGCUAGAUUUCCCGAGAGGUGGUGCAUGGCCAUCGACAGCUCGUACCGCGAGGCGUUCUGUUAAGUCAGAUAACGAGCGAGACCCUCGCUCUUAGUUGCUAUCUUCGAGCCCGCUCGAAGGGCACUCUAAGAGGACCGCUGGUGCUAAACCAGAGGAAGGAGGGGGCAACGGUAGGUCAGUAUGCCCUGAAUCCCUCGGGCUACACGCGCGCUACAAAGGAUGGGACAAUGGGCUCCGACCCCGAGAGGGGGAGGCAAUCCCGAAACCCAUCCAUAGUUCGAAUUGAGGGCUGAAAUUCGCCCUCAUGAAGCUGGAAUCCGUAGUAAUCAUGGAUCAACAUUCCAUGGUGAAUAUGCCCCUGCUCCUUGCACACACCGCCCGU